Rattus norvegicus (Norway rat) is the source of this 469-nucleotide non-coding RNA. The record is from RefSeq and is a predicted model, not a curated record. Lineage: Eukaryota; Metazoa; Chordata; Mammalia; Rodentia; Muridae.
CUUCCGGUUCACAGGCCAGCCUGCGGGCAAGUUUGGGAGAGAGGGCAGGGCGAGAGGAGCUCACUGAGGACUUCUCGGUUUAAAAGACAACAUCUCACAAUUUAACCCAGACAGGCCUGCAGUGCACUCAGUAGUAAUGCUGGCUUCUAACAAGGCCUUUGGAGGUGUGUAGUCUGUUCCACUAACACACAUUUCCCACCGUUCACCUGCAGAAGAUGUUCCUCAGAUUCCACACCCCGCUGACUCUAGGGAGAUUUGACCUGUGGUUUGCAGAGCCGCCAGGAGAUUAUGAAAAAAGGGCAAGAGGAAGCCAUCUUUGGUGACAACUUAUGAAGGUCCCUGAAGAAAACAUACUUGUGAGGAUAACAUAUAAUGGCAGCCAGAGGACUGUGGACAUCCUACUUCAUUGCUUCAAAAUGCAAAGACAUUCAUUUGUGUUCGUGCUUACGGUAAUAAAAAUGUGAUACAU